GACGAACGCUGGCGGCGUGCUUAACACAUGCAAGUCGAACGGAAAGGCCCUGCUUUUGUGGGGUGCUCGAGUGGCGAACGGGUGAGUAACACGUGAGUAACCUGCCCUUGACUUUGGGAUAACUUCAGGAAACUGGGGCUAAUACCGGAUAGGAGCUCCUGCUGCAUGGUGGGGGGUGGAAAGUUUCGGCGGUUGGGGAUGGACUGGCGGCUUAUCAGCUUGUUGGUGGGGUAGUGGCUUACCAAGGCUUUGACGGGUAGCCGGCCUGAGAGGGUGACCGGCCACAUUGGGACUGAGAUACGGCCCAGACUCCUACGGGAGGCAGCAGUGGGGAAUAUUGCACAAUGGGCGGAAGCCUGAUGCAGCAACGCCGCGUGCGGGAUGACGGCCUUCGGGUUGUAAACCGCUUUCGCCUGUGACGAAGCGUGAGUGACGGUAAUGGGUAAAGAAGCACCGGCUAACUACGUG
RNAcentral lists this ribosomal RNA (468 nucleotides) under uncultured bacterium. RNAcentral's name for it is "partial 16S ribosomal RNA". It matches the Rfam family "Bacterial small subunit ribosomal RNA", at positions 28 to 507 of the family's 1533-position model. The record is from RNAcentral.